RNAcentral lists this transfer RNA (70 nucleotides) under Camelus bactrianus (Bactrian camel). It matches the Rfam family "tRNA". Rfam says of the family: Transfer RNA (tRNA) molecules are approximately 80 nucleotides in length. RNAcentral also lists the same sequence under 2 other names. The record is from Rfam by way of RNAcentral. Lineage: Eukaryota; Metazoa; Chordata; Mammalia; Artiodactyla; Camelidae.
GGGGGGAUAGCUCAGUGGUAGAGCACAUGCUUAGCAUGCACAAGGUCCUGGGUUCAAUUCCCAGCACCCA